This 452-nucleotide ribosomal RNA is filed under the name uncultured bacterium. RNAcentral describes it as "bacterial SSU rRNA". It matches the Rfam family "Bacterial small subunit ribosomal RNA", at positions 335 to 797 of the family's 1533-position model. The record is from RNAcentral.
ACUCCUACGGGAGGCAGCAGUGGGGAAUAUUGCACAAUGGGCGCAAGCCUGAUGCAGCAACGCCGUGUGAGUGAAGAAGGUUUUCGGAUCGUAAAACUCUGUCCUAAGGGAAGAAAAAAAUGACGGUACCUUAGGAGGAAGACCCGGCUAACUACGUGCCAGCAGCCGCGGUAAUACGUAGGGGGCAAGCGUUAUCCGGAAUCACUGGGGCGUAAAGGGUGCGUAGGCGGCUUAGCAAGCCAGGGGUGAAAGGCAUUGGCUCAACCAAUGUAAGCCCUUUGGAACUGUUAAGCUUGAGUGCAGGAGAGGUAAAGUGGAAUUCCUAGUGUAGAGGUGAAAAUUCGUAGAUAUUAGGAGGAACACCAGUGGCGAAGGCGACUUACCUGGACUGUAACUGACGCUGAUGCACGAAAGCGUGGGUAGCGAACAGGAUUAGAUACCCUGGUAGGUCA